UACCAGCUCUCCGAGUGGUGUGGACGUUUAUUGGGCCUAAAGCAUCCGUAGCUGGCUGAACAAGUCCUUUGUUAAACCCAACGAUUUAAUCGUUGGUCUGCGGGGGAUACUGUUCGGCUAGGGGACGAGAGAGGCAGACGGUAUUUCCGGGGUAGGGGUGAAAUCCUAUAAUCCCGGGAGGACCACCAGUGGCGAAGGCUGUCUGCUAGAACGCGCCCGACGGUGAGGGAUGAAAGCUGGGGGAGCGAAC
This 250-nucleotide ribosomal RNA is filed under the name uncultured bacterium. RNAcentral describes it as "partial 16S ribosomal RNA". It matches the Rfam family "Archaeal small subunit ribosomal RNA", at positions 474 to 724 of the family's 1478-position model. The record is from RNAcentral.